GAACUGCUUUCAUCUGGAGCUGGAGAGAUGGCUCGGGAGGCAAGCAUACUUGCUGUCCUUCCAGAGGACCCAGUCCAGGUCCCAGCACCCACAUCAGGAUGACAGUCACCUGCAACUCCAGCUCUCCAGCGUCCUGUGCCCUCUUCUGGCUGUGCUGGUCCUGAACACGCGUGCAGCACACACUUACUGUUUUGCAGGUACAUGCGUGGAUAUGUGUUGGGGAGCCGGAGGAUAAUUUUGAGUGUCCUUCCUAAGAAAGGCUUUUGUGACGGGGUCUCUCGUUGGCCUGGUGCUCACCAGUUCAGCUGGCUGAGAUUACAGGCCAGGGAGCUUGCCCAGCUGGACAGAGUGGCCCAGCUCACAGACUCUGUCCUCAGACGCCUGCUGCUGAGUCUCUCCACUACCCCAUCCUGCAGAUGUGGAGUCCCUACUCUGCCCUCAUCCGUGGCUUCUGCUCUCCAGUUGAGAACUCCCAUGUUUCCAUUUGUCUGCAGUGUGGUGGCCUCAGCCUCUGUGAGGCGGCUGUGCUACCACCAAGUGCCUGUCCCAUAACCUCAUCACCUGUGCGACUCAGUCUGUAUCUGCUGGCUUGCUUUUUAAGACUUACUUUUAUUUGCAUUUAAUAAAUGUUGUGGGGGGAGGGGACCGCAGAGGGGUGAAGGCAGAGGGUGGUGGUUCCCUGGAGGUUGUGGGUCACUGACCCCGGUGUGGGGUCCUCUGCUAGCGCAGCAGGCGCUCUCCAGUGCUGAGCCAGCUCUGCCGCCGGCUGCCUUCACUUCGGAACCAGGCGCACGCUGUCUGUCCUCUGCGUGACAAGUUAUUUGAGGUUGUAAAUUGGACAGUUUGACCAUCACGCUAUGAAGAAUUUGUUCCAAUCCUAGUAUCUGCUCAGGAAUGUUGCUUUUUCUGUCUUUACAGCCCAUCAAGCUAGCCAGCUCAGGCCCUGCUGCCUUCAGCGGUUCCUGGGUCCCUUUGUGUGAUUCUCCGGGUCUGCCUCUCACAAGUGUGACGGAAGGCCAGCCUGGGACUGGGAGGGGCCUUCCCACGCUCCUCCUUUCCUGGGACGCACAGACAGACUGUCUUUCACAGCUCAGGUGCCCCCCCCCCCCUCGGUUAAACUGUCCUUUUUGCUGUGCAAUUUUGAAUCUGAGUUUUCUACCUGGGGAAGAGCUGGGGGGGAGAUGAGACCAGAGAGCUCCCAGACAGCAUGCACACCACGCAAGAUGCUUCAGACAGGAGAAAGCAACCGGACAGGACGCUUCUACCUCAGAGGCCGGAAGAGGGUGUUUGAACUUGGAACUGUAGCGGCAGGCGUUUGUGGCACCCCCGGCUUGUUUCUGGGUGCUGGGUCUCAGGCUGAGGUGGACAGAGGAUUGCCACACCCAUGAGGCUGGUCGGAUCCCGAUGUGUCUCUGAAGAUAGCCAGUGCUGAAGAGAUGA
Molecule: long non-coding RNA, 1440 nt
Organism: Psammomys obesus (fat sand rat)
Lineage: Eukaryota; Metazoa; Chordata; Mammalia; Rodentia; Muridae
Exons: 5
Source: RefSeq, a predicted model, not a curated record